This 832-nucleotide small RNA is filed under the name Pongo abelii (Sumatran orangutan). Its description in RNAcentral is "retained intron". Lineage: Eukaryota; Metazoa; Chordata; Mammalia; Primates; Hominidae. The record is from RNAcentral.
CGAUCCCCCCAUGUGUGUAAUGUGCACCCCAGCAUGGAGGAAGCGUGGCUGCAAGUACCAACAUGUCAGCCACUUGAGGACUGGACCUUGUCAAAUGCAAAAAGCCUAUGCUUCCCCACACCCAGGGUCAUUUCCACAAAUGUGGGUCCUGGAGUGGAGUCCUUGCUUACGACUUAUGGCCUGCGUUUCUCCUCAGGCAUACGAGCCCCCGCCACCUCCUGCCUACCGCACAGGCUCCUUGAAGCCGAACCCAGCCUCGCCGCUCCCAGCGUCUCCCUACGGGGGCCCCACUCCAGCCUCUUAUGCUACCGCCAGCACCCCGGCUGGCCCGGCCUUCCCCGUGCAAGUGAAGGUGGCACAGCCAGUGAGGGGCUGCGGUCCACCCAGGCGGGGAGCCUCUCAGGCCUCUGGGCCCCUCCCAGGCCCCCACUUUCCUCUCCCAGGCCGAGGUGAAGUCUGGGGGCCUGGCUAUAGGAGCCAGAGAGAGCCAGGGCCAGGGGCCAAAGAGGAAGCUGCUGGGGUCUCUGGCCCUGCAGGAGGAGGAAGAGGAGGCGAGCACGGGCCCCAGGUGCCCCUGAGCCAGCCUCCAGAGGAUGAGCUGGACAGGCUGACAAAGAAGUUGGUUCACGACAUGAACCACCCGCCCAGCGGGGAGUACUUUGGCCAGUGUGGUGGCUGCGGAGAAGAUGUGGUUGGGGAUGGGGCUGGGGUUGUGGCCCUUGAUCGCGUCUUUCAUGUGGGCUGCUUUGUGUGUUCUACAUGCCGGGCCCAGCUUCGCGGCCAGCAUUUCUACGCCGUGGAGAGGAGGGCGUAUUGCGAGGGCUGCUACGUG